UCCCAACGUUCUAAUGGGUGCUGAUAGAUU
This 30-nucleotide non-coding RNA is filed under the name Mus musculus (house mouse). Lineage: Eukaryota; Metazoa; Chordata; Mammalia; Rodentia; Muridae. The record is from RNAcentral.